RNAcentral lists this long non-coding RNA (251 nucleotides) under Gossypium barbadense (sea-island cotton). RNAcentral describes it as "long non-coding RNA (GBAR_LNC014637)". Lineage: Eukaryota; Viridiplantae; Streptophyta; Magnoliopsida; Malvales; Malvaceae. The record is from RNAcentral.
CCAGGGAACGGAUGGCCCAAAUACAUUACCAAUACCUGAUUCCCUACAAGCUUGUUCAUGGCCCAGAGAAGUAACAAACUCUACACAAUUCAAAGUCAACCUAUUUUGAGGAGGAGGAACUAGCGGCCCAAAAAAAGAAAAGGCUUCCACAAACGGUUGAUUUGGGCUAGAUGGCAAUUGCCCAUUAAAAUAACCAAGCCUUACCGGCCUAUGAUUAGCAGGCCCAUCGAAGUGCCCAGAUCCAAUCAGCC